GAUGAACGCUAGCUACAGGCUUAACACAUGCAAGUCGAGGGGAAACGGCAUUGAGUGCUUGCACUCUUUGGACGUCGACCGGCGCACGGGUGAGUAACGCGUAUCCAACCUUCCCAUUACUGUGGGAUAACCUGCCGAAAGGCAGACUAAUACCGCAUAGUCUUCGAUGACGGCAUCAGAUUUGAAGUAAAGAUUUAUCGGUAAUGGAUGGGGAUGCGUCUGAUUAGCUUGUUGGCGGGGUAACGGCUCACCAAGGCUACGAUCAGUAGGGGUUCUGAGAGGAAGGUCCCCCACAAUGGAACUGAGACACGGUCCAAACUCCUACGGGAGGGAGCAGUGAGGAAGAUUGGGCAAGGGACGGAAGUCUGAACCAGCCAAGUAGCGUGCAGGAGGACGGCCCUAUGGGUGGUAAACUGCUUUUGAAUGGGGAUAAAGUUAGGGACGUGUCCCUAUUUGCAGGUACCAUACGAAUAAGGACCGGCUAAUUCCGUG
This 492-nucleotide ribosomal RNA is filed under the name uncultured bacterium. Its description in RNAcentral is "partial 16S ribosomal RNA". It matches the Rfam family "Bacterial small subunit ribosomal RNA", at positions 28 to 507 of the family's 1533-position model. The record is from RNAcentral.